UUCACCCAUCAAUUGAACACUACGAGGCGGCGACGCCGCCCCCUCCAUCAAUUGAGCGCCCAGAUCCACCCAUCGUCUUCCCCUUUCUCUUCCCCACCCCCAACCCUAAUUUUCUGAAAUUUCACGGAAUUGUGUGGGGGGAAGUGGCGGCGUCGCGCGACUCCACGAGGCCGAGGCGCAGCGCCUCCGCGACGGCUUCCAGCACGGC
This 208-nucleotide long non-coding RNA is filed under the name Salvia miltiorrhiza (redroot sage). Its description in RNAcentral is "long non-coding RNA (SMIL_LNC009494)". The record is from RNAcentral. Lineage: Eukaryota; Viridiplantae; Streptophyta; Magnoliopsida; Lamiales; Lamiaceae.